This 253-nucleotide ribosomal RNA is filed under the name uncultured bacterium. RNAcentral describes it as "partial 16S ribosomal RNA". It matches the Rfam family "Bacterial small subunit ribosomal RNA", at positions 524 to 776 of the family's 1533-position model. The record is from RNAcentral.
UACAGAGGUCCCAAGCGUUGUUCGGAUUCACUGGGCGUAAAGGGUGCGCAGGUGGGUUGGCAAGUUCGAUGUGAAAGCCCCGGGCUUAACCCGGGAAUGGCAUUGGAUACUGUUGAUCUGGAGGGUCGGAGGGGGGACUGGAAUCCUUGGUGUAGCAGUGAAAUGCGUAGAUAUCAAGAGGAACACCAGUGGCGAAGGCGAGUCCCUGGACGAUACCUGACACUGAGGCACGAAAGCCAAGGGAGCAAACAGG